CAGUGAUUAUAUAAGAACUUAUAAAUAAUGAAUUCUGUUUUAUUUUAGCCUUGUUUGCAGUCCCUAAAAAUUAUAAGCUGGUAGCUGCACCAUUGUUUGAAUUGUAUGACAAUGCACCAGGAUAUGGACCCAUCAUUUCUAGUCUCCCUCAGCUGUUGAGCAGGUUCAAUUUUAUAUACAACUGAAUUCCUGCGCAGUGGAGAAGUUAAAGGAGCCGCUUGUCUCUGUGAGCACAGCUAUACACAGUGUAGAAUAAAUGUGGUAGAAAAGUUUUUUUGGUUUUAUCUCUUUUGCGAUCCCUAAAUUGCCACCUACUUUCUAUUGUUUCAAUGGUAAAAUUAAUAUGAAGAACUAGAUAGUGGUGUAAACAAAUGUGAUAAUGUUUAUUUACUUUUGGUUCUACUCAUACUUUUUUGUAGAACAUUAAAAAAAAUGGACUUCCUUUUAAAUUUUAACUUUUCAUUAAACUUCUACAAUUCUUAUAGGUGAGGAUCAUCUCCCCACCCCCCACCUUAGGCUGGUGAAUGUUAACAACACAGUGACAGGUUUAGGUCAGUCAAGUUUAUUGGACCCUUGCUUUGAUACCAUUCUUGGGCACAUACUCCAAGAGUGUAUUAGAUUUUUGUGAUGAAGAGCUUCCAUUACUUUUGAAAACUUUGUCUGAUUGAGUCCAAGGUACAACUCCUAAGUGAGCUGUGUUACAGAGAUCUCCCAGUACAAUUCACUUACUGACCAGUAAGUACAUUUUAUAACCAUUCAGGCCUUGGUUUGCAAGCAACGGACCUUAAACAUAUCAGAAACUAUUAAAAUUGGCUAAAUCAGCAAUCAUAGGAAUUGGUGUAAGAAGAGACUCAUUUAGAGCUCAGAAUUUUCUUCACAUAAUGGGGGUAUUAAUUGUUUGAGCUGUUGUGAAAUUAUGUGUCUUAUUCUUAAAGCCAUGGUAAAAAUAGUGAUCUGUGAAGGAAAUUUCUAAAAGUGGAUGUAUUAGGUUUUGAACUCUGAGAUUGCAUAAAUAUUCAAUGAACUUGAAGUUAUAUACAUAGAGAAGAAAAUUUGGUGUUAGCAAAUGACAGCCUUCAAAAAUAUUUUGUAAUGAUGUGAAUCCACCGAAAACUGGGGGCAAGGCAGAGGACAGAUUUUGUCAGCAUAAGGAAAAAAUACCAAAUUUUAAAAACUUCUUAAAAUACCGAUAAAUUUGGAUCAAAUUUGAGGGAAUAAAAAAUAUUAGAGCAAAGGAGUUUGCUGGUUGUGUCAUUAUUUAAUGAUCAAAGUAUAGCUUGUAUGCUUUAUUACAGACUUGUUGACUAUAGGCUUAAUAUAAACAAAAGUCUUGCCAGAUGCAGCUACUUAAGAAAAAAAAGAUUUUUAAUAGAAAUGAACUUUUGAUUAGUUCUUAGAUUUUUAUGAUGCCAAUCACAGGGCUAUUUUCCUGAAUAUUGCUUGAUGUCAAAGGUAUAUUAUACUUCAGGAAAUCAGGCUAAGUGUAGCAAAGCAAUUAUAUUCAUAAACACUCUAGCUUUUUAGUUGGGGUCAUGCCGAACCCUCACGUGGUUGUUAAGUAGUGACUAACUAACUGUGCAUGUUCUUAGUGGUAGGUGAGUACCAGUCUCCAUGACCAAAAAUGUUCCGAUUUCCUUUGAAAAAGCCACUAGUUCUGUGAAUUGUCCUUUUCCUUCCUGCCCCUAACAGUUCUGCCCCUCUAGCCUACAUUAGCAUGUAAUGUGUUUCGCUGGUAACUCAUUGAUUAGCUGCAUCCUUCAGCUGUUCCUUUAGAUUGGGGAACAAGACCUUUAGAUUGGGGGAAGUGGAGAUGAAGAUAGGUUGUUUCAGCUCACCUUCCAUAAUUGCUUCUGAGUGAAAAGCUACAGCAGCCACAUUUCAGAUGCUCACUUUUGCAAUUUGGGGAGGGUGGAGAGAGUUAGAUUGUGUGUUUUAUAAAGUGCUCUUAAUAAGGAGUGUUUGAUUUGAAGUUAUCUGAUUCAAGGCCACUAAUGUUCUUUGUAACUUAAGCUUUGACCAAGAAAUUCUUCACUUCUUCCUACUUCUUCACUUCUUCCCAAUAUACUAUAUGUGAGCCAGUCAUCCAUACACUAAGGUCUAGUUGACAAAAACCUUUGAUUCAGGAUGGCUGGGUUACUAACCUUGGAAUGUAAGAGAUCUGAUUUUGAAUGUAAAAUUCAUAACAUAAAUGGAAGUAUUAAAAACUUUUUGCUCUGGUGAGUUACAGGUGAAUCCCAAUAAUUUGUUUUUGGUUUUCUGAUGGAAAUAAUGGAACUAGGGGAAAUUAAAUCUGGUAGGUGUCUACAGUAUGAGAAGAUGGUAUAGGGUACUGUUUUAACACUAAGCUCUUUUGAUAUGUGAGGUCUACAAUUCCAGAAACUGCAUUCCAAAUCUACAUACUAAAUGCUGAAUCAUUUUUAAAUGGGCUCUUGAUUAAUAAACCCAUAUUUUUUGGUGCCUCCUAUGUUGUACAUUUGUCUAAAGUGAAAGCUCUCUUUUGCAUUGUAAAACUACAGUAUAUAUAUCAUCUUAUUUUCCCUGAGUAAUCCAAGUAUAGUGCAUAUUCUUUGUAAAACUACUAAAUGACACUGGAAAAUCUUUAGUAGAUUAGCGGGAAAAAACUAAAAAGUUUUACACAAUUGUCUGUGGUUACGUUUAAGGUGGACUUUCCCUUUGGAGAAGAGUGAUUUGUUUUUUUGCUGUGUGAUGAAGACCAUUGUGAUUUUUUUUUAAGUAGAUAAUAGUUAAAAUGGCAUAAUAAUUCUGCACUUGAAUUUGUACUGUUAACAGCCCAUUUGGAAGAUUUUUAAACUUUUUAUUGUCUUGUAACUAGCAUUCAGUUAUUAUUUUGGAUAUUUAGGGGUUUCAUUAAGUUAGUAGUGUAUUUGGACAAAGUGUAACCAAAUUAGCCAGUCUGUUUCUUCCAUGUUUAAUUAGAAGUGAGAGGUAGACGUACUUCAAAUUCAGCAGGCCAGCAAGCAAUUGGCUUUAAAUUCCCUUUCUUAAAUGUUGUGACUCUUAUGCUCUUGGCUUUUUAACGACUUUAUUUUUAAAGUACUUGCCCAGUCACUUGAGAUGAAAUGCUUGGGGUAGCUUUUCCAUCCUCAAGUAAUGUUUUUACUAGUUCAUAGUGUUUGGAACAGUAUGUGCCAAUCACUAAGACUGAUUCAGAGUUUGCAAUUUUGUAUGUUUCAUUGCCAAAGAAGGCUUAGUGGUUGUUGACUGUAGUAUAAGUCAGCUUUCUGUAGAAUAAGAUUGGAUUUUCCCAUACUUACUCCACUUACACAUCACUGAUUAUUUGGGGUAAACUGGACUCAUUUCAAGCAGUUUGCCUUUGUUGUUCAAAUAAGUGAUGAGAAACCUAAUACUGUAAUUUGACUUGAGCCAUAAAAUACAUUUUAAUAUUAGUUGGUAUUAUAUUUAUUAAGCUUGUUUUUGUGGAAAAACUAAAACCUAGAUGAGUCUAGAUUAAGCCAAUUUAGGUGUAUUUUGUAAUUUAGUGAUGGAUCAUAUCGUAAAAUAGAGAUAAGUUGGGAAGAUAUAUUGAUUAUGCUGUUCUGUUGAGGGAAAGGUCAUGUAUUUGGAAAUUUAAACUUUUGGUUAUUGUGUUGACAUAGUAUACAAGCCUCAUUUAUAGCUUGGCUUUGAGAACUUUUCUGGUAUUACGUUUAUGGAAAAUGUAUAAAGGAAACAAGUUUUGGUUAUAUUUUUAUAUUUGUAAAGUAAAAGUUUGGUUAAAAAUGAUCACUGUUCUUUUUUUAUUUUAUUGUCAUUUCAAUAAAAAAUAUUUGAAAGAGAA
Long non-coding RNA from Sapajus apella (tufted capuchin), 3799 nucleotides. RefSeq lists it as uncharacterized. NCBI's taxonomy places the organism in Eukaryota, Metazoa, Chordata, Mammalia, Primates, Cebidae. The transcript is spliced from 2 exons. The record is from RefSeq and is a predicted model, not a curated record.